Molecule: ribosomal RNA, 414 nt
Filed under: Nocardioides sp. 1185c
Lineage: Bacteria; Bacillati; Actinomycetota; Actinomycetes; Propionibacteriales; Nocardioidaceae
Description: bacterial SSU rRNA
Rfam family: Bacterial small subunit ribosomal RNA
Source: RNAcentral
CCUCGUCUUAUGUUGCCAGCACGUAAAAGUGGGGACUCAUAAGAGACUGCCGGGGUCAACUCGGAGGAAGGUGGGGAUGACGUCAAGUCAUCAUGCCCCUUAUGCCUAGGGCUUCACGCAUGCUACAAUGGCCGGUACAAAGGGCUGCGAAAUCGCAAGAUGGAGCGAAUCCCAAAAAGCCGGUCUCAGUUCGGAUUGGGGUCUGCAACUCGACCCCAUGAAGUCGGAGUCGCUAGUAAUCGCAGAUCAGCAACGCUGCGGUGAAUACGUUCCCGGGCCUUGUACACACCGCCCGUCACGUCACGAAAGUUGGCAACACCCGAAGCCGGUGGCCCAACCCUUGUGGAGGGAGCCGUCGAAGGUGGGGCGAGCGAUUGGGACGAAGUCGUAACAAGGUAGCCGUACCGGAAGGUG